This 522-nucleotide ribosomal RNA is filed under the name Triticum aestivum (bread wheat). RNAcentral describes it as "partial small subunit ribosomal RNA". The record is from RNAcentral. Lineage: Eukaryota; Viridiplantae; Streptophyta; Magnoliopsida; Poales; Poaceae.
AUGCCUUCUCAUCUACCUUGCUGGAGUGGCCGCCUCCUCGCUGAUGUAUUGCGCUGCAUCGACCUUCCUCUGCUGCCGCUGCCCGGGUCCCUCCGCUCGCUCCUGCCGAGGUCGCAUAAAUUGCAGGCUGAGGUGAGCACCAUGAGGAUGAGGAGGUCAGUGGCUGAUAUAGAGAGCUCCUCGAACGGGGAAGUAGCAGUUUUGGAGAAACUCGAAGAUGUCAUGUUCAGGUAUGUUCACCGGAAGAGGGGUUACUAUUUUGGCAUGUCCAUUUUGAUGGGAAUCACUACAAAUAGUUAUGUUCAUGAAUAUAUACUGUAUGAUGGAGUAUCAACUAGCUGCCUUUGGUCGCACUUAGUAAAAACACCAGCAUGUUGUUUGUGGUGCAUGCACGGUUGUAGCGAAGAUGUGCAUGCAUUGCUGACCAUGGAGCAUUGCAAGGCUUCAGUAUAUGUACCGCAACUCAGAGACUGGACACAGUGCCACUUGCUACAACCACCAUGCAAGUGGUCGAUGCUUUAG